GUGUGAGAAGAUAAUGGACCAAAGGCCCUUUUUGGGGCCUGUCAUGGGGUGUAUAGACCCCAUGCUGGCCUGGCAAUGAAUGAGUUAAUGCAGGAACUACCAGCCAAUGCUGAUUGGCAGCCUCACAGCAGCUGGGAGAAUAAAAGAGCUGAGAAGCACAGGGGUGGGGUGGCUGCCAGAGGAGGAAGCAGACCAGAGAAAGUAGGUCCUGCCAGCAAGCUGGUGAGACACUGUCCCAGAGGGACAACACCCUAGAGAACAGAUGACCACAGGCUGCAGAAACUGAUAGCACCAAGAGUAGGACUACAGAGAUUCAGACAAGAAGGGUGGACUGAUUGCCCUGCUGAACUAAACAGACUGUGCAACACUCCAACUGACCAAAGGGAAGUGCUGAUGCAAUAGGGCACCAGUUCUUCAGAGAAGCUUCAGGACUGCUGUACGCUCAUCAAACCACAGACUUUUGUGGGUUCUCUUCUCCAUCAUUAAUGAGAGGAGGAGGUUGCAUUUUGCUACUCUGGAGCUCAGAACUGCUUUCAUCUCAUUUGAGCCAGGCAUGCCUUUAUUGCUGAUCUACCCCUAAAGGGCUCAAUUAUGGGUUGUUUGACAGACACGUUAUGUAAUUUGCUGAUGUCCAUAAACUGGACCUGCCAUAAAGUGGUUCCCCACUUGCCACAGAGCUCUACUGGAACUGCUAAGCACCAGACCCUUCUUAGUUCCCUGUGUAUGGGGCAUGCCAGAAGACAGAACGAAGAGUGGGUGCUGCUAGUCUCAGCCUACAGCCACUGCAACCAGAGCACAGUGUACAUUAGAGCAGCCCUAUAGCCCUAAGGACUGGGCAGAAUGUUGACUGAGCCAAGAAUACUGGAAGGCUUUGAAGUGGUGCACAACCCCUUUACUCCCACCCUUCCAUUCCUUCAGUGAGAUCAACUCAGCAGAAUGGAGAAUCGGGGCACUACUCCUUGUGAUCUGCACAACCGCUCUUAUCUUGUUAAUUGGGACACACUCCACUUAAAAAAUCUUGUUGUAAACAAACAAAUGUAUCUGUGUUACAAAUAAGACCCUAAUUAUUAAAAUGACCAAACUUUAAAAAAAAA
Molecule: long non-coding RNA, 1094 nt
Organism: Dermochelys coriacea (leatherback sea turtle)
Lineage: Eukaryota; Metazoa; Chordata; Testudines; Dermochelyidae
Exons: 4
Source: RefSeq, a predicted model, not a curated record